GAGGUUAGAAGAGAGGUUAAUGCUGGAAUUGCAACAGUAUCGCGAAUGAUGGAGCGACUAGAAACCAGAGAAAACAAUAGAACCAGUAUUUCUUCUGUUUCAAACAGUGAGGAAGAUAGCUCAGUAACAGAAUCAAACAACCAACAAAUAUCAGAGACUGGUGGUGGAGAUCCUAUGAGUAAUACAAAUGCCAAUAUGCAAGCUCCGUGUGCUGCAAGUUCUGGUUCAGAUUAAGCAUA
Molecule: unclassified non-coding RNA, 239 nt
Filed under: Hevea brasiliensis (rubber tree)
Lineage: Eukaryota; Viridiplantae; Streptophyta; Magnoliopsida; Malpighiales; Euphorbiaceae
Source: RNAcentral